GGGGGCCCAACCUCCCACCCGUGUUGCCCGAACCUAUGUUGCCUCGGCGGGCCCCGCGCCCGCCGACGGCCCCCCUGAACGCUGUCUGAAGUUGCAGUCUGAGACCUAUAACGAAAUUAGUUAAAACUUUCAACAACGGAUCUCUUGGUUCCGGCAUCGAUGAAGAACGCAGCGAAAUGCGAUAACUAAUGUGAAUUGCAGAAUUCAGUGAAUCAUCGAGUCUUUGAACGCACAUUGCGCCCUCUGGUAUUCCGGAGGGCAUGCCUGUCCGAGCGUCAUUGCUGCCCUCAAGCCCGGCUUGUGUGUUGGGCCCCGUCCCCCCCGCCGGGGGGACGGGCCCGAAAGGCAGCGGCGGCACCGCGUCCGGUCCUCGAGCGUAUGGGGCUUCGUCACCCGCUCUAGUAGGCCCGGCCGGCGCCAGCCGACCCCCAACCUUUAAUUAUCUCAGGUUGACCUCGAAUCAUGCAGCAAUCC
This 474-nucleotide ribosomal RNA is filed under the name fungal sp. SNB-CN77. RNAcentral's name for it is "eukaryotic LSU rRNA". The stretch from base 125 to 278 matches the Rfam family "5.8S ribosomal RNA". The record is from RNAcentral. Lineage: Eukaryota; Fungi.